GCAUUUGUUUUCCCCCUCCUCCGAUCCCUCCCCCGGGAUUUAAAAAAUUAGGGUUUGAGACGUGGACGAAGAUCCACCGCUCCUCGCCAUUUUUUUAAUCCUCGGAGAAACCCUAACUCUCUCAGAUGUUUUGGUUCCCCACCCCCACCCUCUCCCCACUCCUCUAUAUAUCCCUCUCUCGAGCGGAUCCCUCACCUUCGUCUUCGUCGUCCUCGUGCCUCUAGUUUCUAGUCGUGAGUGCAUUAUGAAUCUCUUUGCGUCCAUGUUUAGGUGAGAUAGAGAGAGUUGGAGGGGGCGAUCGCUUUGAGCGGGGAUCCGGAGGAUAUGGUUUUUGCAUGCGGCGGCAGCAACCUCGAGGCAGCGACUGCCCAUCUUGCAAGAUUUUCAGUGAUCAUAUGUCUGAAGCCUUGACAUGUGUUAGCCCAACAUGCUAUGUCAUUUUGGUAGAAUACUUACAGAUGACAUGGGUGUGGUGAUUAUCAUACCGAUGAUUCUCUUGCAAGUUGUGCAGUUGCUGCCUCAAGUUUGCUGCCUCCCUUUGCCAGAACUGUGAGUGACAUGAACAAAAACUUUGUCAUGCUAUCAAUGAAGUUGCAAAAUACUAGCUUGUUAAACAUUAAUAAAAUAUAUUCUCAGCUCAAAAGAGCAACAUCAAUUCCAUAAUUAAAUUGGAUGUCUAAUAUGUCAGUAGUAGGGACAAAUGAAAUUGCCUGAUGUUUGAUAUGAAUAUAUAGGAAUUCUAUUUCUUUGCUUUCACUAUUAUAUAAGCAUGCGUGGGAUUGCUACAGUUCCAAUAUAUACAUGACAAAUAUAUACAUGAAAAUCCUACUGCCAAACCACACAGCGCAAGAAAAGUCGCAUGGAAUUUACGAUUGUUAAAAAUACUGUUUCAAGCAGGUAAUAUGGGAUGUAGCUGCUUAGACUUUGUGAUUGGUUGAUAACUUGGUAGCCAGUUAUUUACUUUUUCUACUAGGUAUUUCUUCUUAAGUCUUUGAUUGCUUAGAUUAGAAUAAGUGAUCUAAUGCCUAUUGUUUUUGGUACUCACAAACCUGAGAUCUAUGGAGGCAUGCCUUGUGCUGAGGUACUGGUAAGCUAAUUAAAAUGUUUCCAUUUGGUUACACAUAUAAUUUGGUAGUCAAUUAUCUUUUUAUGCAUGAAACUAUUCUGCUGUCUAUGUGAUUCUGCAGUUGGGCUGUAUUUGUUCUUCGGUUGGUCUGGUUAUGCCUAUUUCUUCACUCACUGUAACUACUUUUGAAAGUUGCAUUAUCUAAUUUCACCGACCCAAAUGCAGCUUCUCAAGUUAGUUUGGAAUGUAAUAUAUAAUUGUAACUAGAACCCUUCCCUAUUAUCGAAAUAAGUGAAUAUAUCAGUUGGGGUGAUGUUGCAAGUAUUUGAACAGUACAAGAUGACCUUUGUGCAUCAAGCUAUGACAGUAAGUAUGAUCGGCUACUCUUCACUUGCUGUAUAUGCCAGGUUCGUGCUUAGGUUUAUGUCAUGGUUCUUCAUCCAUUUCGCAUUCCAUUGAGUAAACAGUGGAAACAGGAAAUGUGAUAGUAAAAUAUCAUUGAAUUCUUUGUAACUCCUAGUUCAAUUUGAUCUUUACCAUUUGAUGUGUGAAAAAGUACACAAUCUGUCCGUAACUGUUGGAGAAAUAUUUCUGAUUGUUUGAUGUGUUUUUUGUAACAAAUGAUGUAUGAUUUCUUUCAUGUAAGAUAUACUACGAGUACAAGUAUUGGAGAUGCUCAAGUUUUGAAACAAGCAAAUGAUUAUAUUAUGAGAUAAAAAAGUUCUCCCUGUACUCCAUUGUUACUUCUGCUUAUUAAGGUCAGGACAACAGAUUUAGUUACAGAGAACAGAGAAAGCAUCCAGAAUAGUACAAGGUGUUAUGUUAGUUGAUAAAUACCAAGUUUCUACCGAAGCUCAAAGUGCCUCUCUGCUAGCAAAACUCGGUGGAAAAAGAAAAAUGAAAAUUCACUAAAGUCCUGUUGAUGCAUCUGUCGAUGGCACUGAAUCACCUCAGGAUCCAAGAUCUAUUUGAUAUCAAUUCAUGUAUCAUACAAGAGGUGACAUAUGAGGAAAAUUAUCUUAAACUGGUACAGCUGUUUGACCUACAGCGCGAGGAUGCCCCUGACGAAGAGGUGCUGGAUGAGGGAACUGAAUUGAAUUUUCAGGCAGACUCAGGUGGCGACAACUUGACGAAGGGCUUCAACAAAGAGGUUAAGAUGAUUAUAAUAGUUGAUUACGACAUCAAGACAUAGAAUAGUAUGAGAGUUUCAAGUUUUGCAGAGCGUAUUUUACAUGACUUGAAUUCUCUGCUUUGUGGUUUCACAAAUUUAGAACGUAGGAUUUCUUUUUUUUUUUCCCCCUCAUUUUCUCGUAGAAUUUUUUCAAUAGAAUUGAGCCACUAUACUAUAGAUAGUAUAUGAAUAGUGCUUACUAUAGAUUUUGUAGCCUUUGGAUACAAUCACUAAAUAGUGAACCCAGGCAUUGCUCGUCUAUUAUCUAUAGUACAGUAGCUCAGUUUCUUUUAAUAUUGUGUAAUAGUCUUUCAAAACUUGUUUUUUACAUAGCUUACUUCGAAGUUCAAACUAGAAGUUUGAAACCUUCAAUUUUCAUUGGCUUAGUUUUGGAAUGUAUUAUUCAGGUGAACCUAAUUUGAUGUUUCAAAGGUUUAAAUAAUUUUAAAUUUGAAAGUUUUUUGGAUUUUUUGAA
This is a long non-coding RNA of Ananas comosus (pineapple), 2712 nucleotides long. RefSeq lists it as uncharacterized. NCBI's taxonomy places the organism in Eukaryota, Viridiplantae, Streptophyta, Magnoliopsida, Poales, Bromeliaceae. The transcript has 5 exons. The record is from RefSeq and is a predicted model, not a curated record.